AGAGGAGGAGAUGCUUGAGUGGCAUCACCGACUCAAUGGACCUGAGUUUGAGCAAGCUCGGGGAGAUGGUGAAGGACAGGGAUGCCUGGCGAGCUGCAGUCCAUGGGGUGGCCAAAAGUCGGACACAACUUAGCGACUGAACAACA
Cervus elaphus (red deer) is the source of this 146-nucleotide long non-coding RNA. RefSeq lists it as uncharacterized. The transcript is spliced from 3 exons. Lineage: Eukaryota; Metazoa; Chordata; Mammalia; Artiodactyla; Cervidae. The record is from RefSeq and is a predicted model, not a curated record.